Molecule: ribosomal RNA, 460 nt
Filed under: uncultured bacterium
Lineage: Bacteria
Description: partial 16S ribosomal RNA
Rfam family: Bacterial small subunit ribosomal RNA
Source: RNAcentral
CCUACGGGAGGCAGCAGUGAGGAAUAUUGGUCAAUGGACGAGAGUCUGAACCAGCCAAGUAGCGUGAAGGAUGACUGCCCUAUGGGUUGUAAACUUCUUUUAUAUGGGAAUAAAACGUUCCACGUGUGGGAUUUUGUAUGUACCAUAUGAAUAAGGAUCGGCUAACUCCGUGCCAGCAGCCGCGGUAAUACGGAGGAUCCGAGCGUUAUCCGGAUUUAUUGGGUUUAAAGGGAGCGUAGGUGGACUGUUAAGUCAGUUGUGAAAGUUUGCGGCUCAACCGUAAAAUUGCAGUUGAAACUGGCAGUCUUGAGGACAGUAGAGGUGGGCGGAAUUCGUGGUGUAGCGGUGAAAUGCGUAGAUAUUAGGAGGAACACCAGUGGCGAAGGCGUCUUACUGGACCGAAACUGACGUUGAGGCUCGAAAGCGUGGGGAGCAAACAGGAUUAGAUACCCGUGUAGUC